This 497-nucleotide ribosomal RNA is filed under the name uncultured bacterium. RNAcentral describes it as "partial 16S ribosomal RNA". It matches the Rfam family "Bacterial small subunit ribosomal RNA", at positions 28 to 507 of the family's 1533-position model. The record is from RNAcentral.
GAUGAACGCUGGCGGCGUGCCUAAUACAUGCAAGUCGAGCGAACGGACGAGAAGCUUGCUUCUCUGAUGUUAGCGGCGGACGGGUGAGUAACACGUGGAUAACCUACCUAUAAGACUGGGAUAACUUCGGGAAACCGUAGCUAAUACCGGAUAAUAUUUUGAACCGCAUGGUUCAAUAGUGAAAGACGGUCUUGCUGUCACUUAUAGAUGGAUCCACGCUGCAUUAGCUAGUUGGUAAGGUAACGGCUUACCAAGGCAACGAUGCAUAGCCGACCUGAGAGGGUGAUCGGCCACACUGGAACUGAGACACGGUCCAGACUCCUACGGGAGGCAGCAGUAGGGAAUCUUCCGCAAUGGGCGAAAGCCUGACGGAGCAACGCCGCGUGAGUGAUGAAGGUCUUCGGAUCGUAAAACUCUGUUAUUAGGGAAGAACAUAUGUGUAAGUAACUGUGCACAUCUUGACGGUACCUAAUCAGAAAGCCACGGCUAACUACGUG